AUUGAACGCUAGCGGCAGGCUUAACACAUGCAAGUCGAGCGGGGUGAUGGUGCUUGCACUAUCACUUAGCGGCGGACGGGUGAGUAAUGCUUAGGAAUCUGCCUAUUAGUGGGGGACAACAUCUCGAAAGGGAUGCUAAUACCGCAUACGUCCUACGGGAGAAAGCAGGGGAUCACUUGUGACCUUGCGCUAAUAGAUGAGCCUAAGUCGGAUUAGCUAGUUGGUGGGGUAAAGGCCUACCAAGGCGACGAUCUGUAGCGGGUCUGAGAGGAUGAUCCGCCACACUGGGACUGAGACACGGCCCAGACUCCUACGGGAGGCAGCAGUGGGGAAUAUUGGACAAUGGGGGGAACCCUGAUCCAGCCAUGCCGCGUGUGCGAAGAAGGCCUUAUGGUUGUAAAGCACUUUAAGCGAGGAGGAGGCUCUUUUGGUUAAUACCCAAGAUGAGUGGACGUUACUCGCAGAAUAAGCACCGGCUAACUCUGUGCCAGCCGCCGCGGUAA
This 503-nucleotide ribosomal RNA is filed under the name uncultured bacterium. Its description in RNAcentral is "partial 16S ribosomal RNA". It matches the Rfam family "Bacterial small subunit ribosomal RNA", at positions 30 to 523 of the family's 1533-position model. The record is from RNAcentral.